CCUACGGGAGGCAGCAGUGAGGAAUAUUGGGCAAUGGGCGAAAGCCUGACCCAGCCACGCCGCGUGUGUGAUGAAGGCCUUCGGGUCGUAAAGCACUGUGGGGAGAGACGAAACAGCGCAUCAGGAAAUGGGUGCGCCUUGACGGUACCUCCUUAGCAAGCACCGGCUAACUCUGUGCCAGCAGCCGCGGUAAUACAGAGGGUGCAAACGUUGCUCGGAUUUACUGGGCGUAAAGCGCGUGUAGGCGGACUCGCAAGUCGGUUGUGAAAUCCCUGGGCUCAACCUAGGAACUGCAUCCGAAACUGCUUGUCUUGAGUAAUGGAGAGGGUGGCGGAAUUCCCGGUGUAGAGGUGAGAUUCGUAGAUAUCGGGAGGAACAUCAGUGGCGAAGGCGGCCACCUGGACAUUUACUGACGCUGAGACGCGAAAGCGUGGGGAGCAAACAGGAUUAGAUACCCUGGUAGUCCACGCCGUAAACGAUGAGCACUAGGUGCAGCGGAUAUUGACCUCUGCUGUGCCGUAGCUAACGCGUUAAGUGCUCCGCCUGGGGAGUACGGCCGCAAGGCUAAAACUCAAAGGAAUUGACGG
This 587-nucleotide ribosomal RNA is filed under the name uncultured delta proteobacterium. Its description in RNAcentral is "bacterial SSU rRNA". It matches the Rfam family "Bacterial small subunit ribosomal RNA", at positions 338 to 916 of the family's 1533-position model. Lineage: Bacteria; Deltaproteobacteria. The record is from RNAcentral.